CCAAUAGCGUAUAUUAAAGUUGCUGCAGUUAAAAAGCUCGUAGUUGAAUUUCGGGACCAUCAUGUCGGUCGUGCCUCGGUACGUACUGGCAUUGUUGGUUUCUCCCUUCUGACGAACCAUGAUGUCAUUUAUUUGGUGUUUUGGGGAAUCAGGACUGUUACUUUGAAAAAAUUAGAGUGUUUAAAGCAGGCUCACGCUUGAAUACAUUAGCAUGGAAUAAUGAAAUAGGACGUUUGAUUCUAUUUUGUUGGUUUCUAGGAUCGACGUAAUGAUUAAUAGGGAUAGUUGGGGGCAUUAGUAUUCAAUUGUCAGAGGUGAAAUUCUUGGAUUUAUUGAAGACUAACUACUGCGAAAGCAUUUGCCAAGGAUGUUUUCAUUAAUCAAGAACGAAAGUUAGGGGAUCGAAGACGAUCAGAUACCGUGGUAGUCUUAACCAUAAACUAUGCCGACUAGGGAUCGGAUGAUGUUAAUUUUUUAAUGACUCAUUCGGCGCCUUACG
RNAcentral lists this ribosomal RNA (499 nucleotides) under uncultured Glomeromycotina. RNAcentral describes it as "partial small subunit ribosomal RNA". It matches the Rfam family "Eukaryotic small subunit ribosomal RNA", at positions 591 to 1092 of the family's 1831-position model. The record is from RNAcentral. Lineage: Eukaryota; Fungi; Glomeromycota.